CAAUAGCGUAUAUUUAAGUUGUUGCAGUUAAAAAGCUCGUAGUUGGAUUUCGGAUGGGACUUGCCGGUCCGUCGUUUCGAUGUGCACUGGCCAGUCCUAUCUUGUUGUCGGGGACUAGCUCCUGGGCUUCACUGUCCGGGACUAGGAGCUGACGAGGUUACUUUGAGUAAAUUAGAGUGUUCAAAGCAAGCCUACGCUCUGAAUACAUUAGCAUGGAAUAACACGAUAGGACCCUGGCUUAUCUUGUUGGUCUGUGAGACCAGAGUAAUGAUUAAGAGGGACAGUCGGGGGCAUUCGUAUUUCAUUGUCAGAGGUGAAAUUCUUGGAUUUAUGAAAGACGAACUUCUGCGAAAGCAUUUGUCAAGGAUGUUUUCAUUAA
RNAcentral lists this ribosomal RNA (379 nucleotides) under uncultured eukaryote. Its description in RNAcentral is "partial 18S ribosomal RNA". It matches the Rfam family "Eukaryotic small subunit ribosomal RNA", at positions 592 to 976 of the family's 1831-position model. The record is from RNAcentral.